RNAcentral lists this small RNA (68 nucleotides) under Mycolicibacterium obuense. RNAcentral describes it as "ASdes TB sRNA". It matches the Rfam family "ASdes TB sRNA". The record is from RNAcentral. Lineage: Bacteria; Bacillati; Actinomycetota; Actinomycetes; Mycobacteriales; Mycobacteriaceae.
UUGGCGACCGGGUCCACCUCGCGGGUGACGACCAGGUAGUUGCGCAGCGCGACGGCAUGCAGAUGUUC